This 574-nucleotide ribosomal RNA is filed under the name Methylophilales bacterium BACL14 MAG-120920-bin58. Its description in RNAcentral is "bacterial SSU rRNA". It matches the Rfam family "Bacterial small subunit ribosomal RNA", at positions 954 to 1533 of the family's 1533-position model. Lineage: Bacteria; Pseudomonadati; Pseudomonadota; Betaproteobacteria; Nitrosomonadales. The record is from RNAcentral.
AAGAUACGCGCAGAACCUUACCAACACUUGACAUGUUCGUCGCGACUCUAAGAGAUUAGAGUUUUCGGUUCGGCCGGACGAAACACAGGUGCUGCAUGGCUGUCGUCAGCUCGUGUCGUGAGAUGUUGGGUUAAGUCCCGCAACGAGCGCAACCCUCACUUUUAGUUGCCAUCAUUAAGUUGGGCACUCUGAAAGAACUGCCAGUGAUAAGCUGGAGGAAGGUGGGGAUGACGUCAAGUCCUCAUGGCCCUUACGUGUUGGGCUACACACGUGCUACAAUGGUAUCUACAACAGGAAGCAAGACUGCGAAGUUAAGCAAAUCCCUAAAAGAUACCUCAGUUCGGAUUGCACUCUGCAACUCGAGUGCAUGAAGCUGGAAUUACUAGUAAUCGUGGAUCAGCGUGCCACGGUGAAUGCGUUCCCGGGUCUUGUACACACCGCCCGUCACACCAUGGGAGUUGGUUCUACCUUAAGGCAAGGUUUCAAACCCUUGACCACGGUAUAGUCAGCGACUGGGGUGAAGUCGUAACAAGGUAGCCGUAGGGGAACCUGCGGCUGGAUUACCUCCUUUCUA